GACUAGCGGCGAAACGUAUGUUUGACGAGCAAGAAUAGAGCGGUGGUGAGGAAAGUGGCACUGUCAAAUCAUAGGCUGACUGUAGGUUAAAAAAGACGUAGCUAAUUCCAGAUUGCGUUUUACAGCGGAAUGUUCACUCGAAGGGGCCAUGGAGACGUCAAGAAAUCUACACAGAAAGUUCUGGACCCAAAGAAGGAUGUAUUGACCCGACUGAAGCACCUCCGGUCACUGUUAGAUAUCUUUGAGAAGAGUGAUUUGAAGACCUUCUUCGAAAGCAACUGUUCUCAGAUUUAUUUUAUCUUCUAUGAAAAUUUCAUUACACUGGAAAGUAACUUAAAGCAAAAAGGGAACAAAUCUCAGAGGGAGGAGCUGGACUCUAUCCUCUUUAUUUUUGAAAAAAUUCUGCAACUUCUACCAGAAAAAAUCUACAGUCGGUGGCAGUUUCACAGUAUAGGUUCUAUUCUGAAAAAGCUUUUGCACACUGGAAACUCAUUCAAGAUCAGAUGUGAGGGAAUUCGUCUGUUCCUGCUGUGGCUGCAGGCCCUGCAGAAUAACUGUGCAGAGGAGCAGUUCCUCAUCUUCGCCUGCCUGGUGCCAGGCUUCCCUGCCGUGCCCUCCACCAGAGGACCCUGUACCCUGGAUACCAUCAUCUACAACCCUUUCUCCAACCCACCCGAUGCCAAGGUGGUGCCUGAGGAGAUCACCCCACUGGUGCCAGCUGUGCCAGGGGAGAAGCUGGCAGACGACCAGACCUGCUACAUCCUCCAAACCCUGCUCAAGUUCAUGGUUGUCCAGGCGUCUAGUUUAGAGUGGAGGAACAAAGACAACCAGGACACCGGCUUCAGGUUUCUCUUCAGUCUGUUCAAGAAGUACUACCUUCCUCACCUCUUCCCCUCCUUCACCAAGCUCACCAACCUCUACAAGCCACUUUUAGACCUCCCCCACCACAGACCAAAGCCUCUGUAUGUCCCAGUGACCCGUAAUAACGAGAGCACGUUCUGUACGAGGGACCAGUACCUAGCUCCCCGUGUGGCCUUUAUCACCUGGCUGGUCACCUUCUUCCUGGACAAGAAGUACAUCAGCACCCCCAGCGCCAAGAACGGGACGAACGAGGUCAUCCCCAAACUCAUCCAGACUGUGACUGCAGGCAGUAGCAGUCAGGAGAAGGAGAGGGAUAAAGACCGUGGUGGUAGUGAGGGGGAGCCCAACGGCCCCACAGAGCCAGAGAAGAGCCACUCUAACAGUAGCACACUAUCUGACCGGCGCCCCAGCGACUCCAGCCUGUGCAGCAUCGACGAGGAGCACCGCAGCGUCUACGACAUGGUGCACGGCAUCCUGCUGUCCACAAGGGACAACAUCAACUUCGUCAACGAGGUCUUCCACCAGGCCUUCCUGUUGCCCUCCUGUGAGACGUCAGCGACCCGGAAGGUGAUCAAGGUGUACAGGAAGUGGAUCCUGCAGGAGAAGCCAGGCUUCAUGACGGAGCCAGAGAAGAGCAGACAGGCCGAGGUGGAGGAGAACCCUGAGCAGCUGCUCAUCACUGAGACUGACAACACACACACACCGGUGUUGAAAAGUCACAAGCGUUCGUCCAGUUGGGGCAGGACGUACUCUUUCAGCAGUGCCAUCAGCCGGGGCUGUCUCACCGAGGAACAGAACAGAGACAUCAAGGCUGGCAUCCAGCCCACCCUGCAGGUGUUCCUGACCAACUCUGCCAAUGUGUUUCUACUGGAGCCGUGCCAGGACGUGCCCAAACUACUGGACAACCAGGUGGAGGUGUGCAAGGGGGUGCUGAGCAUCUACCGCCACGUGAUCAUGGAGCACACCAUGAACACACAGACAUGGCAGCAGAUGCUACAGGUGCUGCUGAGGAUCACUGAGGCGGUGAUGAAGAGGCCUCAGGAGAACCAAAGAAAAGACCCCUUCGCUGAGAGCCUGGCUGCCAUCCUCUUCAGGACGAUCAUCGUGGCGUGGGUACGGGCCAACCUGUGUGUGUUCAUCUCUCGGGAGCUAUGGGACGAGCUGCUGUCUGUGCUGUCGUCUCUGACAGGCUGGGAGGAGCUGGUGACAGAGUGGGCCAGCAUCAUGGAUUCUCUGACCGCUGUCCUGGCUCGCUCCGUUUACGGCCUGGACAUGAGCAACCUGCCCCUGGACAAACUCAGCGAACAGAAGGAGAAGAAACAGAGGGGACGGGGAGCGGUCCAGCACUCCCAGAAGGCAGCAGCGGUGGCCAGGUCCUUCUCUCUGAGCUGGAGGAACCAGGGAGACCAGCAGGGGGUCCAGGAGCCCAUGAGGUUCCGCAGCGCUACCACCUCAGGGGCCCCUGGCGUGGAGAAGGCCCGCAACAAUGUCCGACAGAAAGCCACAGCUAAGCGAAGCCAGUCUAUCAGCAGCUGUGUCCACCUUUAUGAGGCUUUGCCCGCUACUAAAAGCGUUCCUAUGCUGCUUCACACUGUGAGCUCUUUCUUGCCCGGUCUUUCCUCCUCUUCUGGUAACUCUUGCUCUCACAGGCUUUCAGACGUGGAGGAGGGCCAGCUGUCUGAGUGUGGGGGAGACGGAGAGAUGGAGGCUGGUGACAGCCCUCUACCACGCAGCAGCAGCACCUCCGACAUCACACAGCAACUGUCUGACACCUUCCCAGGCCAGAAGAGAGCGUACUCCCCCAACAACUCCUGUGGUUCCGAUGGCAGGACGUCAGAAGGGAGGAGAGACGGCGACCCACCCUUGAUUUUGAUCCGGCGGAGCAGCAGUCCAGCUGAGCUGGACUACCCUGUAGAGGGACACAACACAUACACAAGGCUCCAGCUCCGGGAGAAAAGCGAGAGUGUGAGCAGCGAGACAUCCAACGGCUAUCUGAACGACGCUGACAGCAGCCUGCUGGCCUGGCAGGCAUUUGAGGAGGAGGCAGACUUCCAUUCAGCUCAGAUAGGGGUCAAAGCAGACACAGAGAGCCAGAGGAACCUGCUGCUCAGCCACAAUGAGGCCCUUGCAGGUCCCGAGUGUGCCCUCUCUCCCCACUCCGCACCCCUGUUUCAGCACCACCAGCACCCCCCCGCCUCGCCAGCUUUGCUCGUGCACCCUGAGUGCCGGGACUGCCCCCAGCUCCUGGAGGACACCAUGCAUCAGUCUGUGUUACACAUGCCUCAGGACCUGGACAGCAGUGAGUGUCUGACUGAUGAUGUCAGCAUCAUUGCAGGCGGGAGCCUGACAGGCUGGCAUGCUGACUCGGCCUUUGUGCUCUGGAGGAGGAUUCUGGGUAUCCUGGGGGAUGUCAACAGCAUCCGCUGCCCCAGGAUCCACGCUAAGGUGUUCAGUUACCUCUACGACCUGUGGCACAAAUUGGCUAAGAUCCGGGACAACCUGGGCAUCAGUGUGGAUAACCAGUCGUCUCCUCCCCGCCCUGUCUUCAUCCCUCCUCUAAGAAUGCUGGCCUCCUGGCUCUUCAAGGCCACCAUGCUGCCAGCAGAGUUCAAGACGGGGAAGCUGCAGGCCUAUAAACUCAUCUGUGAGAUGAUGACUAAGAACCAGGACGUGCUGCCCAAUAGUGACUUCCUGGUCCAUCUCUACCAAGUCAUGCACAAGGGCUUCACCAGCGAGGACCAGGACAUUCUAAACACAGUGAUCCGUUCCUGUUCCCCACGCUUCUUCUACCUGGGCCUGCCUGGCUUCACUAUGCUGGUGGGAGACUUCAUCACCGCUGCAGCACGCAUCCUCAGCCAUGACACCUCCGAGGCUCCGAGGAUUGACGCACAGACCGUCCUUGGGUCGCUGGUCUGCUUUCCCAACCUCUACUUGCAGAUUCCUCUACUGCAGACUGUUCCUGGAACUGAUGACAUCGUCGUCGGGAAUGAGGACAUUAAGGACUAUCUGGUCAACAUCUUACUGAAGACGGCACGCAAUGAACCCUGUGAGGCAGCCAGGUGUAUAGCUGUAUGUAGUCUGGGCCUGUGGGUAUGUGAGGAACUGAUGCAGAAUAAUAUUCACCACCAGGUCAAGGAUGCCAUCAAUGUACUGGGCGUAACACUAAAGUUUGGGAACAAGGCUGUGGCUCAUGUAGCCUGUGACCUGUUCCAGCUCCUCAUCUCUCACUGGGAACACCUCCAGAGGCUAGAGCGCUCUCUCCCAAAGAAAAUCAUUGAGAUCUUUGUGGCUACUAUAGCAUUUCUGUUGCCGAGCGCAGAGCACUCAGCAGUGGAGGCUGACAAAAAGCUAAUGGUGUCUCUGCUGCUGUGCCUGCUGGACUGGUGCAUGGCCAUGCCCCUGAGUAUGCUGCUGGAGCCCAUCACCAUGCCUGUGCUGGAGGACUCCACAUCCCACAAGGCCCCUCUGCUCGACUACAUCUACAGGGUGCUUCACUGUUGUGUCUCUGGCUCCAACCUGCACACCCAGCAGAGCCACUACCUCCUAAGCCUGUCUGACCUCUCCACUGACUACGACCCCUUCCUCAUGCUGGGCCAGGUCAAGAAUUCUGAGCCCCCGCCCUCACACACCGCUGCAGACUUUGGAAACCUGCUCACCGUUGCCGAGGAGAAGAAAAGACGGAAUAUGGAGCUCAUCCCUCUGACGGCACGGAUGAUCAUGACACACCUUGUGAACCACCUGGGCCACCAUCCCCUCAGUGGUGGCCCCGCCCUGCUGCACAGCCUGGUCAGUGAGAACCAUGACAACCCCUUUGUGGAAUCAUCAGAGCUCUCCUCUGAGGUGUUCAAGAGCCCCAACCUGCAGCUGUUUGUGUUCAACGACAGCACCCUGGUGUCCUACCUCCAGGUACCCUCGGAGCCCUCUGGUCCAGGGGAAUCCUACGACAACUCCUCCCAGGUACGGGUCAUCGUCAGGGACAUCUCUGGAAAGUACUCCUGGGAUGGAGGGGUCCUCUACCGCACCCAGGAGGGAGUCAACAGCAUGCAUCAGAGGACCUCAGACCCCUCCAACCACUCCACCACCAAGCCCACCUCACCACGAACCUCAGACCCCUCCAACCACUCCACCACCAAGCCCACCUCACCAGGAACCUCAGACCCCUCCAACCACUCCACCACCAAGCCCACCUCACCAGGAACCUCAGACCCCUCCAACCACUCCACCACCAAGCCCACCUCACCAGGAACCUCAGACCCCUCCAACCACUCCACCACCAAGCCCACCUCACCAGGAACCUCAGACCCCUCCAACCACUCCACCACCAAGCCCACCUCACCAGGAACCUCAGACCCCUCCAACCACUCCACCACCAAGCCCACCUCACCAGGCACCUCCGAGCGCUCCAACCCCCCUGGCUGGGACUCCCAGUCAGGCUGUGAUGAGGAGGAGGAGGAGGUUGAUGGCCUGGACCAGCUCCUAGAGGACCUGGGAUACAGCAGCCCUGAGUGCCUGCCCCAGCCCAGGCUGAGGCUCAACCAGCCAGCCCCCUCUCCCUGUGGGAUGAACCUGGAGCAGGAAGGGGCCAUCAUGGAGGCCAUCCUCAGGCAGACGCAGCAGGAGGAGGAGCAGGUGAAGAGGUGGAACGCAGACGUGAGCGUCAAGGCCACCGGCCAGAGAGAACCCGCUCACCAGGAGCCCAAAGCUCUCUUUUACUUCUGCAGACUGCUACUCAACGACCUGGGCAUGAACUCGUGGGACCACAGGAAAAGCUUUCAUCUCCUGAAGAAGAACUCAAAACUUUUGAGAGAACUGAAGAAUUUGGAUUCCAGACAGUGCAGGGAGACACACAAGAUCGCUGUGUUCUACAUCGGAGAGGGUCAGGAGGACAAAUGCUCCAUCCUGUCCAACAGCGCAGGCAGUCAGGCCUACGAGGAUUUUGUGUCUGGCCUGGGAUGGGAGGUGGAUCUAGCCACACACUGUGGCUUCAUGGGAGGGCUUCAGAGGAACGGCAGCACAGGACACACUGCUCCCUACUAUGCUACCUCCACAGUGGAAGUCAUCUUGCAUGUGUCCACACGAAUGCCGUCCAACUCUGACGACUGCCUCACAAAAAAGCUGCGUCACCUGGGAAACGAUGAGGUUCACAUAGUGUGGUCGGAGCACAGCAGGGACUACCGGCGCGGCAUCAUCCCCACUGACUUUGGAGACGUGCUGAUCAUCGUGUACCCCAUGAAGAACCACACGUUCUUCAUCCAGAUCAUUCAGAAACCACAGGUCCCUUUCUUUGGGCCUUUGUUCAACGGAGCCAUCGUCACUGGAACGCUGCUGCCCAGCCUGGUGCGCGCCACCUGCAUCAACGCCAGCAGAGCUGUCAAGUCCCGCCUGACGCUCUACCAGAGCUUCUAUGAGGAGCGUGCGCUUUACCUGGAGGCCAUCGUACAGAACCACCGGGAGGUCAUGACCUUUGAGGACUUUGCCUCGCAGGUCUUCUCCCCUUCAACCAGCUACUACCCAAUGAGUGGGACAGGUCAGAAUCCUACUCUGCUCCUCCACUUCCUCCACAGCAGCACACCUGUUAGCCCUCCUCUUCAGACCCCUCCAUCUCUGUGUCCUGGUCCUUGUCUCCUCACACCCACACUCUGAUGAAUAUCAAAGGUACCAGGGCCAAGCUCUCUCCACACUGUCUGAGCAGCAGCAUCAAAGACUUUACCGUGGCUCAACAACUUAGUCAGGCCCUGCUCCUUGUCUCUCCGUGUUCUGUUUCAUCUCACCCCCCCCUCUGUUUUUAUCUCCCCCUCUCAUUUAAUUAGCCCGACAGAAAUAUACAUGAUGUGACAUGAUUGAAUGUGGGUUAAGCCCGGUGUAUGUGAUCAGUCCUCUUAUCAGAGCAUCCAUCCCUGUACCAGAGAUAUGCAGUCUGCUAAACACUGGGUUCACACUGCUGUCCCCCAGAGGUCAGGAAGAGGGGAGACUGAGGGGGACUUCAUUAAACAAUGUCUCCUCUUCCUGUCCUGGCUUGGCCUAGAUCUGAUGGGUCUAUAACGACAACAACACCGCUAACAUCCAAUCAGUGCAGCAAUGCUCUCAUGCACUGAUGCAAUUGGAAACCUGUGUUCUUUUAUUGUCAUAACUGGAAACUGAAUCUGUUAUUGUGUGUGUCUUGGCUACAUGCGUACGAACAUGUCUCUGUGUGUGUAUACAUGCGUGUAUGUUGUGUCUUUACGUGCGUGUAUGUGUUGUCCAGAUUUCAGCGAGCAGCCCCAGGAAGGCAGACUGGGAGAGGCAGGAGGUAGUCUGCUCUAUUAACGUAAUUACAGUCAACUCCCUUUACUGCAGAGGUGGAGAAAAAAAAGACCUAUAUUGACCUUUCAUCAACCAUAAUACUAAACAGGGAGUAUUCUGUAGGGAGAGGGGAACAGGGAGAGAGGGGAUGAGAGAAAGGGGAGAGAGAGGAAAUGGGAGAGAAAAUCUUGUAAUUACCCAGUGUGGGGCAUUCAUCUGUUCUCUGCUGGUGUGUUAUUUCAACAUUGGGAUUUUUUUGUAGUGGAGUAGGAGAAGGAUAGCUGGUUGGGCUGACUGAGUCCUCUUUGUGAUUAUGGGAUCAUAGGUUAGUCUGGCCAGACAAUAAAUGACUAUUUUCUCUUAUUGUUAAAUGAGGAUUGGUUUCACAGCGUGGUGCAUCAGCUGUGUCUGAUGAGAGCAGACAUAACAACAAGACUUACUUUAACCAGCCUCUUUAAUCCUGUGGAAAUUAAUUUGGAACAUCUAUACAAAUUGAUGAAUAUACAAAUAGAUGGGCAAACAUUAUUUUUGGGCAAUUGCUUCUGUUGGUCUGUCUGUAAAAGUGAGUGAGUGAGUGAGUGAGUGAGUGAGUGAGUGAGUGAGUGAGUGAGUGAGUGAGUGAGUGAGUGAGUGAGUGAGUGAGUGAGUGAGUGAGUGAGUGAGUGAGUGAGUGAGUGAGGACGUGUUAUUUUGUCCACCGUGGGUUUGGAAUCAGCUGGUCCUCUAUAUCAACUGUUUCUAUCCACAGCACCACACCACAGAGAUGCAGGGCAAUUUCAGGAAUCACUCUAGGUCUGCAUGCAGACUUCACCUGGCAAUCUUCUAAACAAGGGGGAGGUUAAAUCCUAGUACACACAGAUACAGGUGCUCACAGCUUCUUCCAGGCAUUUUUCUGAGAAGUGGUUCUUCUUAUUUUUUGAAAUGUCUUUUUUGUCAACAUGUUUUCCUGUAUUUACAGCGGCCGUGUGGAUAGUGUACAAUACAUUUAUGUUCAUGUACAUCCUCUAAUAUAUAGUCUGUUUAUGUCCUGUGUAUGGUUCUAUGCAUCAACACAUGGCCAUUGAUAUAUAAUCACAGAAGGCUGCUUAGUUUUGUCCCUUUGUUGUGUCUGUGACCUCAGACUUAAAAAGCUGCUCUCAUUGUCACCCUUCUCAGAUGUGCUGGUGUCUAGUAAUACAGUGAUUGGCUGUUGCCCUCUCAUGUGUCUUUGUCAUGCCUGUGUCUCAUGUUCCAUAUGCUGCUGCAGUGUGAGUGUGUGUGUGUGCUUGUCAAUACCCCUGCUUAGGUUCAUUGCUCCACUAACAUGUCAUCCAUGACGUGCAGCGUGCCGGCGUUGGCCGGGGAUGGUUUGGGACAUGGAGUACCCUUGGGCCAAGCUGGACUGUAAGACUUCUGCCUGUUUCCUCUACUAGGCAUGAUGCCCAUUGCCCACCCUCCACCUUAACCUGACCUUCACCUUUGAUCCCACAGCUACACCAUCUCAGUAACCAUCAAUCAUACUAACCUGCACCCCGACCCCGGACACUUCUAAUAUCCCACUUCCUCCUGCAUGAGUCAUCUCUAACCUACAGUAGAUUAUCCCCAUCCUCACCACUGUGGCUCUGCUGUGUGACUGGAGCGUUUGCUCUGUGUGUCUACUGUCUGAGUUGUUUAUGUGGUUUGAGUGUUUGUUCACACUGACAUAUUGACAUGUUGAAGUUUCUUUUUUUGGGCCGGGGGGUUGGACUCAGUCGGGGUCUCAAAUUACUGUAGAGAGUAAGAAUAGCAGAAUACACAAGGUGCAAUUUGGAAAUGUGGUUGUGCAUCAGCAGUUUGUCAGUCACUCAAUUAGCCCAUGUCAGUAAAAAAUGUUUAGAUUGGUAAGUUAUUAUAGCGGCUUAGUAAACUUAGGAAUCAUGGUCGAAUUCCCGGCCUAGGGCCCCCAUUUCAAUUUUGUUAGUCAGUCUCACUCAGAUAUCAUAUUAAAACCUGCAAACAUUUCUCUUCACCCUAUGGAAAAAUGUGUAGAAUUGCAGGUAAUUAGCUGUAAAAUAGCAAAUUGUCCUGUCCGCCCCAUGGCAUAACGAGUAGAAUUGCAUGAAAUGAGUUCUAAUUUUGCAACAUUUUGUCUACGCACCAUGGGAAAAUGUGUAGAAUUGCACAAUUUAACUCUAAAAUGUAGAAAUGUUCUUUCCACUGUCAAGAGGGGGGCUGCUUAAAUCAUAUCAAAUUCCUUAUAUUAAGCCAACCAGACAAAGAUUUUCUUGUUUUCUUAAUUUACGGAUAGCCGUAGGCACACUCCAACACUCAGACAUAAUUUACAAACAAAGCAUUUGUGUUUAGUAAGUCCACCAUAUCAGAGGAAGUAGGGAUGACCUUGAUAAGUGCAUGAAUGUGACCAUCUUGAUAAGUGUGUGAAUGGGACCAUUUUCUUGUCCUGCUAAGCAUUCAAAAUGUGAUGAGUACUUUUGGGUGUCAGGGACAUGUAUGGAGUAAAAAGUCCAUCAUUUUCUUUAGGAAUGUACUGGAGUAAAUGUAAAAGUUGUCAAAAAUAUAAAUUGUAAUGUACAGAUGCUUAAAAACACUACUUAAGUAGUACAUUCAAUUAUUUUUACUUAAGUACUUUACACCACUGCGCGCGUUGGUACGCAGACCCACGAGCAACUGCGGCCCCUCCAUGAGUUCAGUUUUUUUGUGGCCCCCACCCCCAUCAAAGAUGUCCAUCCCUGGGUUAAAUGAACGUAGCUAUAAGAGCCAAGUCAACAAUGAUUCUCGCUCUUCAAAUCUUUCAAUGUAUCCAGACAGUCCGUGGGACUGAAGAGCUCUCAGCAACCCCCCCAGACAGGCCUCCUUCUCUCACCCUAAACCACUCUGAGACAACAGCUCUUCACCUGCUCAGCAUACCGCUACAGCUUCAUCUGAUGGCAACAGAAGACCCUCUAACUUUUACUAUGUGUCAACUAGUCAAGGAGCUGCCAGGCACACUGGUUUAAAUGACUGUUGACGUCUACUCUACUGUGGAGCAGACUGUUGACGUCUACUCUACCGUGGAGCAGACUGUUGACGUCUACUCUACCGUGGAGCAGACUGUUGACGUCUACUCUACCGUGGAGCAGACUGUUGACGUCUACUCUACCGUGGAGCAGACUGUUGACGUCUACUCUACCGUGGAGCAGACUGUUGACGUCUACUCUACCGUGGAGCAGACUGUUGACGUCUACUCUACUGUGGAGCAGACUGUUGACGUCUACUCUACUGUGGAGCAGACUGUUGACGUCUACUCUACUGUGGAGCAGACUGUCGACGUCUACUCUACUGUGGAGCAGACUGUCGACGUCUACUCUACUGUGGAGCAGACUGUCGACGUCUACUCUACUGUGGAGCAGACUGUCGACGUUUACUCUACCGUGGAGCAGACUGUUGACGUCUACUCUACCGUGGAGCAGACUGUUGACGUCUACUCUACCGUGGAGCAGACUGUCGACGUUUACUCUACUGUGGAGCAGACUGUCGACGUCUACUCUACUGUGGAGCAGACUGUCGACGUCUACUCUACUGUGGAGCAGACUGUCGACGUCUACUCUACUGUGGAGCAGACUGUCGACGUCUACUCUACUGUGGAGCAGACUGUCGAUGUCUACUCUGGAGAAACCUGUGCCUGUAUUGGUGUUGCACACAAUUUUGUCUAUAAUGUUUUGUUACAUUUUACUGGUCUCGUUAUCUCAUGAUGUUGAACUGGUUGAGAAGCGUUUCUGAUAAUCCAGUCAGUUCCUGCUCUAUGAUCUGUCCAACAUAUACACAUUUUAUAAUAAGCAGUCAUACCAACCUAUGUGAUGUCAAGUUACAGAAAUCAUUUACCCAUUUGAUUAUUGGCUGGACAGAUUUUUAAGGGCAUGGAACAAACUCAAACCAACUUUCAAGAGGCCCUCUAGCUUUCUGAAAAUUGUCCCUGUCUCUUAACAUAUUAAAUGCUUUAUGUCUUGUAUGACUUUGAUCCUCACAGUGAUAAUAAACAACAACAUACCACCACACAGGCUUUCUGAAUGUCGCCCUCAUCUCCCUUCCCUAGUACCCUCCCUGACUGACUGUCUACAGCAAGGCUGUGUUGUGUGACUUUGUCUUAAUGUGACGCUCUACUGUCUGUUUUUCUUUUAGAUGAAACAAUGUUAAAGGUGUCAUUGCGGUAAUUGAAGAAGGCUCCCUCAGUGGCAGCACGAGUGCUGAGCUCAGUGUUUCCGUAGGAACGGACCAUGUGGACCAGGUCUCUCCCACGAUGCCCCGUGCCACAAAGAACAGAGUUUCCGGAAAACUCCGCCGAUCAGCCAGCGCCAUAAGCAAAUCCUCCAACUGAGCUCUCUCGCCCGACCCACCCCCAAAACCUCCCGUUUGGCCUUCACUACCGGUCCUGUUUUAAACCAUCAUACUGACCCCUUAUGACUGCAGUUUGGGGGUGUGCUUUGUUUGUUUGUUUUGUUUUGUGUGUGUCGUUUAAACAUUUAACUGGAGCAUAUUGCACAUUUUAAUUUGUGGCAAUUAUUGAUUCUUUGAUACAUUUCCAAUUGUUUUGCUGUCGAACUGCAUAUUUGAGAUGAAGCUAUUGACGUUUUUUCCAAUGUGGCUGCACUUUGUUUUUGAAGAAUCAAUGGUUCUUUUCUAAUUUAUUACUGAUAAAUGGCACUACUCAGUACAGUGAUAAAACGAGGUAUGUAUAGCCAGGGACUGGAGUGAAAGAUCAUGUUAGGAGACUUGAAGUCCACCUAUCAUGAACAUUUCCAUAUUGUUUUUUCAUGCCACAGCUGUUGAGCGGGUAGUUGACAGUGCUGUAGAGGAAAACUCUAAGAGGCUGAACUUCUAGAGAAAUGGGAGACUGUUUUAGAUUGUAUUCUUGUGAAGAGAAGCAGCCGUGCAUAUAUAGUUAAUAUAUACUGUAAUAAAACAUUUCUUAUCGUCCACAUGCAUUUUGAUAUGUCUGCCUUUUUGGUUUUCUCAUUGACCCCCCCCCCGUGAUCCUGCUGUGUGAAACACUGAUGAUAGUCUUGCAAUGCUGUUGACAGGAUAGGAUUAUUUUUAAGGGUGGUGUUGUGUUGUUUGGUUUGUUGUUUUAUCCUGGGUCUUGAGCCAUGGAAGCCUGUCUGUCUGCCUGGGUCAUACUCAUCCUCUUGUUGUGGAGAGGAGGAAGGACUGCGUCAUAGGAGGUGCUGCUCUAGCAUAAUGCUGCACCGUACCACACACUUCCUGGUUAUGGAGUGCUGUGAGUGUGUGCAGUAGGAGUCUGUUUUUAAUAGUUAUGAACCUGGAGUGGACAAUCAAUGAUGUCUUUCCAACCCGAGGUGAAUCGAAGCUUGUUUUUGUUUUUCUAUCUUUCUGUCCUUUUUAAAUGGAUUGCGAUGGAUUUUGUCGUGCUUUGAUUUAUGCAACUCUGCUGGAAAUGAGAAAAAACUGCAUUUGUAAUUGGUUAGUGAUGUUAACCUGUGUAGGAUUGUUUAACCUGGGUUCAUAACCUGUAAUCCAAUAAGUUCCAUCUGUCUCUUCCUCUGCUAUAAUUUUCUUGUUGUCUUGUAAAGCUAUACAUAUGACAUUCCAAUGUCCCUACAGAUGAUCUUUUGCACUCACUGUCAUUGACAAACUAGCAAAGAAAAGUUUUUUUCUCUUUAUUCAUGGAUGUGAAUUGCGUAACAUUUUAUUUUAUGUGUUUGUUUCAGUGUGUGAGAGCAUGCAAAGUCAUAUUUGAAGACUUAUUUUGCUGUUGUGUUGUAUAAUGUAUACAUGUGCUGUUUAGAGGAAGAAGUCGCCGGAGCCUCAGGUGAAUCUUAACUCCAUGCACUUGUGUGUGUUUCUGAAGGAGCAGUGCCUGUGUAAUGUCUGUCCACCAAUAUCCAUUCCUAGACCCCACCACUGUUAGACAUCAUUUGAUUUAUUUUGUUUUUCUUCAUUCUAAGAAGCAAACCGUGGACAGCUAGCUUUGCCUUCCUGUCUCACAUCUCUGUUAACUAGAGGGAAAGUGUCGUCGUCGUCCCCCACCAUUUGACUGUAAAGGUCAAUUUCUUGUCCUAGUCCUCACAAGCGUUUUAUAUGAACAGAUUGACUGGGUUUGGCCCACUUUGUUUAGUCUAUUUGAGGAGGUUCUCUUUUCUCUCGGAAUUGGAAACAAAUGCCACCUCCUCUUUCCCAUGAUGCACCAUGAGUAACCUCAUGAGGCCGGUGGGGGCUGGGGAGUUAGAAGGCAUACCAGCGCUGAGCUCUGGCGACCCUCCUAGCAACAGGCAGGUUGGCUCUGUGCUACCCACGCCCCCUCCUCCUCCCACCCAAACCUGCCACUUUAGGUUGCCAUGGAAGCCAGGUGUUACAUACACAUGAUGGAAGGCUCUACCCGAGCUGCAACACUGUCCCUGUCUGUUGCACUACUUUACCAUACCUGUACAUCUCCUUUUUCUUUCAUUUUGUUCUCUAGUUUUUUUGUGUCUUUCUUUCCCAAGCACUGAUUAAUAAUAUAGGAGGCACGAAUGUCGAGUUUGUUCAGAGAGAAUGAAGUCCGUUUUGUGCAAAUACUGACCUGAGUCACAUCAAUGCUCUCACUUUCCCAAUGUAAAGAACUACCCAGAUCUUUUUACUGAUCUUCUUAUGUAGUUUAGAUUGUAGAUUUGAUAUUGUGGAUGGGAUCCCUGUUAUAUAUGGGAGAAUAUGGGCCUACGGUGUUGUUUGGACCAGGGUAAGGAUUGUGUCUUACUCAGACUGGUUCAACUCAUGUAAAGCAACAGAUUUAGUGUCAAUUCUAGAUUUUGGUUUAGGAAUCCUGUACAUUGUGUCAAAUUGAGGGCUCCAGUCCUUAUGAAUAUACAUAUAUUAAUGCCUGUAAUAUAAUGUUUGUAUAAGAGGAAGAGUACGAUUUCAUCAUUACUUGUUAACAUAUCAAACUGUUUUUAAUGGCAGAAGUCAUGCUAUCUUUAUUAGAAAUGUUUCAUUAAAUCAAUUUGAAGUUC
Molecule: non-coding RNA, 14102 nt
Organism: Salmo salar (Atlantic salmon)
Lineage: Eukaryota; Metazoa; Chordata; Actinopteri; Salmoniformes; Salmonidae
Source: RefSeq, a predicted model, not a curated record